RNAcentral lists this transfer RNA (89 nucleotides) under Leptolyngbya sp. O-77. RNAcentral's name for it is "tRNA-Ser". It matches the Rfam family "tRNA". From Rfam's summary of the family: Transfer RNA (tRNA) molecules are approximately 80 nucleotides in length. Their secondary structure includes four short double-helical elements and three loops (D, anti-codon, and T loops). Lineage: Bacteria; Bacillati; Cyanobacteriota; Cyanophyceae; Leptolyngbyales; Leptolyngbyaceae. The record is from RNAcentral.
UGGAGAGGUGGCAGAGUGGUUGAAUGCGCUUGACUCGAAAUCAAGUUUGGGGUCACACCCAACGGGGGUUCGAAUCCCCCCCUCUCCGU